Molecule: small RNA, 184 nt
Filed under: Chelonoidis abingdonii (Abingdon island giant tortoise)
Lineage: Eukaryota; Metazoa; Chordata; Testudines; Testudinidae
Description: TUC338 (ENSCABG00000001992.1)
Source: RNAcentral
UGAUCAGUGCUGGAGACUGAAUUCUCCUGUUAUUCCAUAGGAGAGGUUCAGCACAGGAGGUGAUACUGGGAGCUCUCCUCCCUACAUUGCCCCUCAGCCAUCUGCCUCCAUCCCUGAUCUGGAGGGGCCACUUCUGCAGAUGGCAAGAGAGUUCAGUCUCCAUGGCCGCUCUGCUGAGAUGGCC